UUCGCUAAAACCCCAUAUGCCCCAGGGUGAAAAAGAGGAAAUUAGUAAUACUGAAUAACCUCUGCCUGAAGAGAAGCUCGCGGCUGAUUAGCUAGUUGGUAGGGUAAUGGCUUACCAAGGCGACGAUCAGUAGCUGGUCUGAGAGGACGAUCAACCACACUGGAACUGAGACACGGCCCAGACUCCUACGGGAGGCAGCAGUGAGGAAUUUUCUGCAAUGGGCGAAAGCCUGACAGAGCAAUACCGCGUGAGGGACGAAGACUUACUGAGUUGUAAACCUCGGUGCCUUAAGGAAGAAGAUCUGACGGUACUUAAGGUGGAAAGCAUCGGCUAACUCCGUGCCAGCAGCCGCGGUAAGACGGGGGAUGCAAGUGUUAUCCGGAAUCACUGGGCGUAAAGCGCGUGCAGGCGGCCAGAUAAGUUGGAUGUGAAAUCUCCCGGCUCAACUGGGAGAGGCCGUUCAAAACUAUCUAGCUCGAGGGCGAUAGAGGGAGGUGGAAUUCCCGGUGUAGUGGUGAAAUGCGUAGAUAUCGGGAGGAACACCAGUGGCGAAAGCGGCCUCCUGGAUCGUACCUGACGCUGAGAUGCGAAAGCUAGGGGAGCAAACGGGAUUAGAAACCCCGGUAGUCCUAGCUGUAAACGAUGUAGACUGGGUGUGGGAGGGGUAAAA
Molecule: ribosomal RNA, 670 nt
Filed under: uncultured bacterium
Lineage: Bacteria
Description: bacterial SSU rRNA
Rfam family: Bacterial small subunit ribosomal RNA
Source: RNAcentral